This is an RNA transcript of Musa acuminata subsp. malaccensis (wild Malaysian banana), 2067 nucleotides long. It is a transcript of the gene named F-box protein At5g46170, with no coding region annotated. Lineage: Eukaryota; Viridiplantae; Streptophyta; Magnoliopsida; Zingiberales; Musaceae. The record is from RefSeq and is a predicted model, not a curated record.
UUUGUGACUCUGCCUCGCAUCCGUCUUCCCUCUCUCUCUCGUCUCGACCGGCAUUGGGCGAAGGCCUCUCUUCUCUUCACCACUCGGCCUCUGUUUCUCCACCGCACCUUAAAUUUCGUGUCGCUAAUCCUCCCAUUUCCUUCGGUUAGGGUUAGAUUUAGGAUCAGGGGGCUUCGGAGGACGGGUUUCUCUCCUCUCCUCUCCAUUUCCAUCCGAUUCCUAAAAAUGGCGCCUUUUUAGGUGCUGGGGUUGGGGAUCCCAUUUCCAGCAAUCGCAUUUACGGCCUCGAUCUCUCUCGAUCAUAAGGGUUCCGAUCCGAUGUCGCCGCCAUCCGGCGGCGCAGCUGCCGAUCCCGCCGGAUCGCGGUCGUGGCUCCGUGAUCCGGCGGUGGAGGAGGAGGAGGAGGAGGAGGUUGCAGCGGAGGGGAUCGACUUCUUCGACCAACUGCCGGACUCCCUGGUGCUCACCGUGUUCAACUUGAUCGGCGACGUCAAGGAUCUGGGGCGGUGCUGCGUCGUCACCCGCCGCUUCCACGACCUCGUCCCCCUCGUCGACUCCGUCCUCGUCCGCGUGGACUGCGUCAUUUCCGACGGCCCCUCGCCGUCCUCUCCCGGCGGGGACAAGGCCCGCGGCGUCUUCUCUCACCUCGCUCGCGUGGUUCUCGGUGGUCUCGUGAAGCCCUUGCAGGCCCUCGGUCAGAUACUGGGCCCAUCUUCGGCCGUCACCUCCAGCCGGAGGUAUUCGCCCUCUUCCUCCUCGUCUGAGGUCUCCCACCACUCACCGGCCGAGGUCCUGAAGAACUUUAAGGAGAUCCGCCGCCUACGAAUCGAGCUCCCCGCCGGUGAGCUCGGGGUCGACGAUGGCAUCCUCUUGAAGUGGAAGGCUGAGUUCGGGUCGUCACUCGACAGCUGCGUCAUUCUCGGUGCAGCCUCCGUCGUCCCGUCGUCUUCGGUCUCACCGACCAAACCUUCGAGCCUCGACCCCAAACCUUGCUUCCAGGACGCUUGUGGAGAUGAUGACAGCGGGGUCAUCCCGGAAUCGUUCUACACCAACGGCAACUUGAAGCUCAGGGUGUUCUGGACGAUCAGCUCCCUGAUUGCUGCAUCAGCGAGGCAUUACCUCCUCCAGCCGAUCAUCGCCGAUCACGAGACUCUGGAGAGCUUAGAGCUCACCGACGUGGAUGGGCAGGGAGUGCUGACAAUGAAUCACGAGCAGCUGCAUGAGUUCCGGGUGAAGCCAGUGUCCGCUUCAGGGAGCUCACAGAGAACCCUAGUGCCAGCUCUCAGCAUCCGGCUAUGGUAUGCACCCCAUCUGGAGCUUCCUGGUGGGGUGGUACUGAAGGGAGCGACACUGGUGGCUGUCCGGCCAAGCGAGGAAAAGGAUAGGGACGCUGCCAUUGUUGGGGAUUGUGGUGGUCCUGUUGGGUCCUCGGACAGGUGCUGGAUCUCAAAUGCCUUUGAAGAGCCAUACAGGUCGGCAGCCAGGAUGCUUGUGAAGAGGAGGACUUACAGCCUCGAGAUGAAUUCAUUCUGAAAUCUAAGAAGAGGCUCUAUGUCGAGUUUUGGUGAACUGGAAGAGUAAGACAUUGUCUUGAGAACCAGAUGAGAACUUGUCGACUCUUCCACUCCAUCGUUAUGGUAACUCAUCUCCUGCAAUGCACUCAUGAUACUGCUGCUAAUGGUGAACUGCGCUGUCAUCUGCAAAUGUCUUCUGCCAGUGUUAACCUUCAUGGAUCAGCAUGGGAAUCUUGGUUUGAAAUUGCAACUUCGGCCAGAGAGAUAAAAAUCAUUGAUCGGUGUGGAAUCUUGACUUGGAUGUCUCUUGCUUCGCUUAUGACAGAUCAUUAUGCAUGUAUAGUGGUUGCAACCAUGAGCUUUGUCGAAUGAAUCAUUAGGUCUUUUUGUAUGUUCUAUGUAAGUGUAAAAUGAAUUGCAUAGUAUCUAGGACAGAUUUGGAUUCAGAUUUCUAGAUUUAGAUAUUGAUUAAGUUUUAGAUUUAAAAGAGAAAUUAUAUAUGUUUAUCCAUUCAUGGAUUCAGAAUCUUAGACCAUCGGAAUCUAUAUUUAGA